AUCCAUCUGACGAGUCCCAAAUAGGACGUAAGGCAUGUCCUGGAU
Non-coding RNA from Schistosoma haematobium, 45 nucleotides. The record is from Rfam. Lineage: Eukaryota; Metazoa; Platyhelminthes; Trematoda; Strigeidida; Schistosomatidae.